Molecule: long non-coding RNA, 1437 nt
Organism: Arvicola amphibius (Eurasian water vole)
Lineage: Eukaryota; Metazoa; Chordata; Mammalia; Rodentia; Cricetidae
Exons: 2
Source: RefSeq, a predicted model, not a curated record
GGCAGCACCAAUAACUUCAAGAUGGGCACUGAAGAGGCUCCUUAUGGAGUUUACUAGCCAUUUGGGCAAGAAACUGCUCUUGCCUGGACUGCUUGAUGUUAUGCUGUGUGAGCUGGAUGUGCGGGAUCCACGGAGGGAUGACUGCUGAACUUGCCUAAAGGAGAUUGGGUGGCUGGGAAAUGAACAAGCAGCCUCCUACCACAUCAAGACCUGUGUGUAAAGCCAUUGCCUUUGCUGCAUGUGCUGUAGCAGGUCAUUUAAGCUCUGUAGGCCAUAUGGACAGUAACAGCAUCCAUGUCAAGAAUGGUGUGAGGAUUCAUCACUCCAUUAAUAAAGCAGCUCAAUGCUUAUUAAUCAUUAUGGUGACAGUGAUGCUGACAGCAUCCAUGAAUUUCAGAGUUCCCUGUCAGAAGCAGCCUUGAGUGGCUAGUUUCCUGUGGACUGACGUGGCUGCCUCUUCCUUCCCCGCCUUGCCAGGAACAUGCAUUGAGCGUAAGGGAAAAUGGUAUUACUGUACUUCCAGAAGCUGCUUUCGGAAGAAUAACACAACCUGUGGAUUUAUGAACUAGGCCGAUGUGGGAAAACGGGCCUGGAGAAAUCCACGAGCCUCUCCAUCAACCAACUCCCUCUCGUGUUGGACUCUAGGGUGAAGACCCAAGACUGAUUCUGCUUCCAUGCUUGAUAGCUGUGUGACCAGGGCCAGUUCCUUAACCUCUCUGAGCCUCAACUUUCUCACUUGUAAGCCAAAUGAGAACAAAGGGUGAUGUCUACAAAGUCAGAAAUGUCAGAUGGUGUCAGUGGAACAAGCUGGUUUCUGGAAACCCGAGAAAGACUGAUAACUGCUGGAUGGUGGUGGAACAUCCUAGCACUUGGGAGAGAGAGGCAGGCAGAUUUCUGAGUUCAAGGACAGCCAGGGCUGUUAAACAGAGAAACCCUGUCUCAAAAAAACAACCAACCAACCAAUUAACCAAACCAACCAAUUAACCAAAACAACAAAAACCAGAAAGAAAGGCUGAUAAAAGCUCACAAAAGCCCACCAUUAGAUUUAUUCUAAUCCUUACUUCUAGAACCCACUGUGGUGUUUUGAAUAGGAAUGGCCCCCAUAAACUUGUGUGUGUAGCGGCACUGUUAGGAGUUGUGGCCCUGUUGAAGUAGGCGUGGCCUUGUUGGAUUAGGUGUGGCCCUGUUGGAGUAGGUGUGGCAUUGUUGGAGUAGGAGGUGUGUCACUGUGGGGGUGGGCUUUGAGGUCUUAAAAGCUCAAGUUCUACCCAGUGUGGUAACAGUUCACUUCUGCUACCUGUGGAUCAAAAUGUAGAACUCUCAGCUACCUCUCCAUUGCCAUGUCUGCCUGCACGCCGCCAUGAUUCUUGCCAUGGUGGUAAUGACUAAAUCUCUGUAGUGUAAGCGAGCACCAAUUAAAUGUUUUCUUUUGUAAGA